GAUUCACUUUUCUUCCUCGCAGCCUCAGGAAGUGCCGCCACCGAUCUCUUGCCCUGACUAUCUCGACAAGGUGGUCACCUUCGCCUCGCGCGCCGGAGCUCGCUUCUACAAAUGCGUCAGGAAAGAUGCUGAGCUAUGCGGGUUCAUUAGAUCCACGGACACGUACCUGCCGGAGCUGACUCACGCAGGGCUGAUGCAGCCGUCGGCUCCCCUUGAGCAGAGAUACAUGCGAGACCACAACUUCGACCACGGCAGCCAGGCGGAGAUUCAGCCACCACAUGUGCGCAUGCAGCCACAGGUGCAGCAGCCGAGCCUCCCCUGUGCCGCGCCUCCAUGCUGCUCUUGGCCGGAACCAACUUCAUCCUCGUCCUGCCAGCUAAUCCAACCCUAGUCCUGCAUGACAAAUCAGCAAACUGAUUACACAUCAUGGCCGAGACUGUUCGUUUGUAGUGGAACACAUAUACUUAACACAUUUCUUUCAUCAUACUUCUGCACAAUCAUGGAAAUUUCAAAACAUACUCGAAAAA
This is a non-coding RNA of Aegilops tauschii subsp. strangulata, 527 nucleotides long. NCBI's taxonomy places the organism in Eukaryota, Viridiplantae, Streptophyta, Magnoliopsida, Poales, Poaceae. The record is from RefSeq and is a predicted model, not a curated record.